RNAcentral lists this ribosomal RNA (466 nucleotides) under uncultured bacterium. Its description in RNAcentral is "bacterial SSU rRNA". It matches the Rfam family "Bacterial small subunit ribosomal RNA", at positions 329 to 793 of the family's 1533-position model. The record is from RNAcentral.
GACCAGACUCCUACGGGAGGCAGCAGUGAGGAAUAUUGGUCAAUGGACGAGAGUCUGAACCAGCCAAGUAGCGUGAAGGAUGACUGCCCUAUGGGUUGUAAACUUCUUUUAUAAAGGAAUAAAACGAGGCACGUGUGCCUUUUUGCAUGUACUUUAUGAAUAAGGAUCGGCUAACUCCGUGCCAGCAGCCGCGGUAAUACGGAGGAUCCGAGCGUUAUCCGGAUUUAUUGGGUUUAAAGGGUGCGUAGGCGGAAUGCCAAGUCAGGGGUAAAAUCGCGGGGCUCAACCUCGCUCCGCCGUUGAAACUGGCGUUCUUGAGUGGGCGAGAAGUAUGCGGAAUGCGUGGUGUAGCGGUGAAAUGCAUAGAUAUCACGCAGAACUCCGAUUGCGAAGGCAGCCUACUAAACUGCCACUGACAUUGAUGCUCGAAAGUGUGGGUAUCAAACAGGAUUAGAUACCCCGGUAC